Long non-coding RNA from Nicotiana attenuata, 168 nucleotides. RefSeq lists it as uncharacterized. Lineage: Eukaryota; Viridiplantae; Streptophyta; Magnoliopsida; Solanales; Solanaceae. The record is from RefSeq and is a predicted model, not a curated record. The transcript has 3 exons.
CAGCAAAUGCCUAAUGAUAACAUUGAAACAUCAUACAUUAUUGGUGAUGAAGAAUAUUUGCCUGUGAAAGAAAAUUCUGUUGAUCUGGUCAUUAGCUGCUUGGGACUCCAUUGGACAAAUGAUCUUCCUGGAGCAAUGAUACAGUGCAGAUUGGCUUUAUAAUCAGAU